This 450-nucleotide long non-coding RNA is filed under the name Homo sapiens (human). RNAcentral's name for it is "non-protein coding lnc-AGT-6:8". The record is from RNAcentral. Lineage: Eukaryota; Metazoa; Chordata; Mammalia; Primates; Hominidae.
GUAGCUCUGCACAGGACAGGGUGGAGAGGAGCCUGGAGGUAGGCCCUGUAUUUCAGAUAAACAUGACUGUGGCCUGAGGCUCUCUCCAGGCACUGUCCAAAGGAUUUGGUCUCAGGACCAAAAUAUUAUAGGUUGAUAUGGUAUGAUAUGUUUCAUGUUGUAGGUUGAUAUGGUUUGGCUCUGUGUCCCCACCCAAAUCUCACUUUGAAUUUAAUCCUUAUACUCCUCAUAUGUCAAGGGCAGGACCAAGUGGAGGUUAAUUGAAUCUUGGGGGCAGUCUCCCCCAUGCUGUUGUCAUGAAAAUGAGUGAGUCUCAUGAGAUCUGAUGGUUUUAUAAGUGUCUUGUAUUUCCCCUGCUGGCACUUCUCCUUCCUGCCGCUUUGUGAAGAGGGUAUCUUGCUUCCCCUUCACCUUCCGCCAUGAUUAUAUGUUUCCUGAGGCCUCCCCAGC